CAGAUUAAGCCAUGCAUGUGUAAGUGUAAGCUGAUUAAUAGUGGGACUGCGAAUGGCUCAUUAAAACAGUGAUAGUUUAUUUGAUGGAUUUCAGAUGGAUAACCGUAGUAAUUCUAGAGCUAAUACAUGGCCAGUGUGUAUUAGAUAUCGCCCCUGUGGGAACAACGAUACACCCAUACCGUAUCGGGAGAUACGGUGCAUCAUUCAAGUUUCUGCCCUAUCAGCUUUCGAUGGUAGUGUAUUGGACUACCAUGGCGUUAACGGGUAACGGAGAAUUAGGGUUCGAUUCCG
RNAcentral lists this ribosomal RNA (291 nucleotides) under Ctenophora environmental sample. Its description in RNAcentral is "partial Eukaryotic small subunit ribosomal RNA". It matches the Rfam family "Eukaryotic small subunit ribosomal RNA", at positions 41 to 385 of the family's 1831-position model. The record is from RNAcentral. Lineage: Eukaryota; Metazoa; Ctenophora.